GAAGCAUGAAGCUGAGGUGACAUUGUGAACAAAGUGAUCCUAAGGCAAGAUGCUCUAAGCCCUCUGUCAUGCCUGCGUAAGGGCUGCUGGAGGGUGCCUCGGCUGUGUGGCAGCACCAGCGCUGGGAAAACGCCUGCUGUUUAGCCAGCUAGGGGAGGAGAUGUCCAAAAUGGCUGAGACAUCUCCUUCCUCGGGGGAGUGAGGAGAAAACUCCGCUCCCCCAAGCUCUUGUGGUAAGCCUGAUGGCUGUCAGGGAGGCCCUCAGACAUCUGGGGGCUUAACUGUCUCUAUGUGAUGCUGUGCUUCAGCGGUCACAUUCCAUGUCUACUUUCAAGUUCUGCUUCUGCAUCUGGUUCCUCUUUUUCUUAGAAGAUAAGAAUUAGUAAUGGUAACAUAAAUCUUAGUGACCUUGUUAUUUCUUGACAAGUAUGAAAACAGUGCUGAUGCCUUAGGCUUUCUCCUCCCCUCGGCUACUUGAGAGUCCUGGGCCCCUGUCUUCAAGACACGUGAUUUAUUUGACCCUAUCACUGACCACCAAUGCCUCGCCCUGCCUUCCCUGCCCCCUGCUUUGUACUCAAUAAAAGUCAAAACGUCCAGGCACUCAGGGCCACUGCCAGACUCCAUGCUUUGGUUGGCCAUGGACCCUGGGCCCAAACUCUUGUUUUCUCUUUCUCGGUGUCUUGUGUCUUUUAUUUCCACAGUUUCUCGUCUCCACACCUGUGCUCACGGGACCCUGUAGGGCUGGACCCUGCAUGGAGAGGAUUCACUCUUGGAUGUAGAGUUUUGAGAAAUCCUCCAGGGCCCAGUUCUCAAAGACUGGUCCCUGGACCAGCAGCAUCAGUAUCACCAGGGAACUCGCUAAGAAUGUAAAACCUUGAGCCCCACUCCAGACCUGAGAAUCAGAAUCUGGAAGGUGGGCUCUGGUAGGGUGGGUUUCAGCCAACAAGCCCUGCAGAGGAUUCUGAGGCUUGUUCUAGUUUGCGAAUCACUGAUUCAGAGCCAUGUUUCUCAAACCCGGCUGUGCCUGCCUGUCACCCAGAGAUCUCGUUAGAAUGCAGAUUCUGAUUCAGUCGCCAAGGGAGGGGUCUGAGACUCUGCAGUUCUGUCAAGCUCCCAGGUGACACAAUACUGCUGGCCUUUGUAGGAGAUCGGGGUCAGUGUGGUGGGAGAAAGGAAAAGGAGCAGGCCUUCUGAAAGGUCAGAAGGCUCUGCAAAGCUUCAGGGGAGAAUAGCUGAAGGCAGCUGUUCUGCAACCCUGAGGCAGAGGGCAAGGAGUAGGUACAAGGGAGUGUAGGGGAAUUUAUCUUAAACAGGCUUGUCUACUUAUGUUGUCCAGGAACUGACCUUUGAACGUAGGCUGAUGGUCCCUAAAAGGGGAACAAUAAAUGUUAAUUACCCGCAGACUGUGUUUGCUCCAUGCUUUCGGCAUUGUGCCUGGACUGAAUAAAAGUAAGCAGUUCCAGCUUCUCGAGGCUGCUCUUUGGCCACUAGAUCCAGACUGUCCCCUAGCUGCUCUUACACUGCAUACCUGUGUCUGAGUACUCAUUUCAUUCAUAGGUCGGACGGGGUCUGCAGGACAGACCCAGCAGGUCUUUGGAAAAUUUUGUGUAGCAGGGGUCUAGGCUUGUGUUUCCCAGGCAAGCUUUAUGAUGAAAGUCACCUGAGAAUUUAUGAACUAUACAAGUUACCAGGUCUCUCCCCUGGAAAUGCCAGUUUUGUGGAUCCAGCUUCCAGCCCAGGAAUCUGCUUUUUAACACAUCCACUCUAAGAGUUUACCUUUAGGCAGAUCAUUAGAAUCACUCGAGAGCCUUUAAAUGCAGAUUCCCAGGCUCCAACCCAACCUACUGAAUAAGAAUCUCUGAUGGUGCAGCCCUACAUUCUGAAUUUUUUUUAAAAAAGUAAACCAGGCAGUGCUGAUGCCCAGCUAGGCUUAGAAACCCUUGGAAUAGUUCAGGCCCCUCCUUUUUCAAGUGAGGAACCAGAAACCUGGAAGGUGAGUUGCCAAAGAUGAUGAAGGAAACUGGAAGGAAAGUUGAGACCGGAACCCAGAUUUUCUCAUUCCGACCUGGGUGUCCUUCCAGUGACUCUGUGUGUGUGUGUGUGUGUGUGUGUGUGUGUGUGUGUGUAGCUUUGAAAAUUCAAAGUAUUGGAAAUAGGAACUGUCAUACAAACAAAGGUAAGUAAGACGGUGUAAGUCAUGACUGCUACUCAGGGAGAGUAAAGGGCAUUUUUUCUUUUUGAGACAGAGUCUCACUCUGUUGCCCAGGCUGGAGUGCAAUGGCGCAGUCUCCGCUCACUGCAACCUCUGCCUCGUGGGUUCAAGUGAUUUCCUGCCUCAGCCCCCUGAGUAGCUGGGAACCACAGGCACACACCACCACACCCAGCUAAUUUUUGUAUUUUUAGUAGAGACAGGGUUUCACCAUGUUGGCCAGGAUGGUCCUGAACUUUUGACCUCAUGAUCCGCCUGCCUUGGCCUUCCAAAGUGCUGAGAUUACAGGCGAGAGCCACCUCACAGAGGGAAUUUUUUAAAAUGCCCCCUAGAAAGGUGCACAAAGGGUAGGGGUGUAACCGCUGGUGGGUGAGGAAGACCAAGACAGCCUGCGGUAUGUUAGGAUUGCAGGUGGAGGUGGCCGGGUGGGAGUAGCAAAGGGGAGCCAAGUCUGCAGGCACACGGGGAAGGCUAAGUAUCCAUCUGAAGCAAGUGUAGUGAUUGAUGGGGCGGGCAGGAGCAUCAGCAGUGUCUGGCAGAGCAGUGAUGGGUCAGAGUUGUGUUUCAAACAGGCCUAAGGAGGACCAAGUUUUAUUAACUAACUUGAAUGGGCUCAGCUGUGACAUUGUUUGUCUUAAACACUACACACUUGGGGCCAAAUGUAUGGUGAACCAUGUGUGCCUCAGACCACCAGAUCUUCAUAUACCAGCCUUUAAAAGCCAAAAAGUGGUCUCAACAUGUGAUAUAGCUAGCCUAGAGUUAGAAUUUGUACACUACCAUAAAUUGGACAAAACUGUUUCUGUUCUCCUCACAAGGACUGCUAACCUGAGUUUCUGUAAACUGCUAAUUUACUUUGCAAAAAGGUAAAGCUGCAUACUUCCCCUUAUCUGUAACUGCCAGAAUUGCUGGCCUUUGAUCACCAGUAAUGGCCAGAGUAAGCACCCCAGAUCAUUCCAUCCUGGAAGUGAUUGACAGCUUUCAUUCCCAUCUCCACUCUACCUCCACUCCCAAGGUGGUUUUGUGGGUAUAAAAAGGUCUUGUCUCUUUUCUUUCGGGGCCACAGGUUGGAGAGACGUGAGUUCUCCGUGGUCGCCGGCAAUAAACCCUGUAAUCUGGCAUUCUUUUGUUCUGGUGUUGACUUUCUGUGCUGAGUGCGAUAUAACAAACUGAGCCAGGACAUGCAGUAGGAGACUGCCAAAAUGGCUUCUUCCUUUCUCAGUAACACUCAAUAUUCAAACUGUCUUUUUAACUCAGCAACAUGGGAUGAUUUAAGCUAUAGAUCUAGUAUUAACAUUUCCUUACAGAGGUGGCAAGAGCCACCCAAACAAACACACACAAAAGCCUACGUUCAUCUCCACCGCCACAUUUCAGAUGAUGACACAAAGGCAAUGGAUUUCUCAGGAUUACAAGGCAAGACGGAACUGGAAGAAGGCUGGGAGGAAACUGAGAUUGAGUGAAUGUUGACUCUGCUCAGCCCUGAGCUGGGAAGCGGUGGAAACGCCCUGAGCCAGGCCAGGAAGCGGUGGAAACGCCCUGAGCUGGGAAGCACUGGAAAUGUCCCUGGGCUGUGAGCCAGGAAUUCAAAUUCCAGCCUGUAGAGCUGUUCUAGGGGUUAGAAUUUUGGGGGUCCCUUGUUGCUGCACCCAUUCCAGGUUUGGGGCUGGCACUGCCCUUCUGACCCCUCUGUAAGGUGGGCACAGAAGUAGUGGGGAGAAGAAACAGGGGUCAGAAGACACCUCCUCGAGGACUCACUCUGCCUGUAACAGGACCUGCUGAGGUUGCAGUGCUGGCUUCCCACAGAAAAUGACCCUCAUUCUCGAAGGCGGAGAGUGAGCCCCAUGGAGCUGCGUGCCCUCGGCCAUGGGAGAUCAACUGUGGCUGUAUCAGGUGUAAUCAGGAACAUCACAUCUGAAGGCUUGCAGCCUCUGCCUGCCUUGUGGGACGCUGCUGGAAAUUAUCCUCGUGUUUAUAUAGCAUUCUCUGCAAGUGGCUGCUGUUGUCUUUCUGUUGUCAGCACAGUCAGGUGCUGGGGGUACCAGACCUUGGGGUGGGUGGCAAGCGAGGGCCAGCUUGUAUCCGUGUGGCCUUUUCAGGAGCAGAGUGUGAUUGCAAGGAGAAUGUGUGCUUCAACCGUCACCAGCACAGAGAGGGGCACACAGCCCAAACCUAUCCUCUUCCCAGAAACCUACGAGUUCGCUGAGUGCACCUGUGUGAAGAGGCAGGCUCCGAUAGCCUCAGGCUGGUGGGCUGCUAGGGAAGCAGAUAAGGAAUUCCAGCUGGAGAUAAUGAGUUGAAAAGCUGGCCUUUGUUUCUGGAAUUGAUACCCCAUUGAGGGAGCCCCUCAAAAUAAACGCCCAUGUAUAAUGCCCUGUGCUUCAGGUCUCAACACCUGUUGUCCUUGGGACAGAGACCCCAAGCCCAAAAUAGGCACAGCUGCUAUGGAUGCUCAUCUUGCCCUCCUGGAGCUGAGGCUGGACCAUAUUUGGAAAUAUGUCUCCCUCCAUCCCCUCCUCCCAACUUCAUACAAAGCCUUAGGGCUUUAAGACGUGAGCUCUCUCCUCAUUCCCUCUUCCCAAUCUUUCUUGGGUAUCUCUGCGUCUCCCAUCCCUUGGGCGUGUCAUAGGCAGAUGGUAAGUGACAGAUGAAUGAAUACAUGUAUAAGAAAACACAGACCUGAAAUUUCUAGCAGCACAGCUUGGAGCAGGAAGCUCUGGCUGGCCUGGGCUUUUUGCUAAGGUGUCCUGGCUUCUCAUGGCAGCACCUCUCCCCCAGGGCCUUUUCCAAGAUGAUCCUCUCUUUAGGCUUCUGAGCAGUGUGAAUUGCAAACAGCCAUGCCCACUCCCCAGACCAAGAAAACCAAGUUCAGGGCCAGGAUUGCUCACAAAUUUGUUAAGGAACUGCUUCUGCCUUAUUAUUCUCUCUGUAUUUAUUUUUAUUUUAUUUUUAGUAGAAAUGGGGUUUCACCAUGUUGGCCAGGCUGGUCUCAAACUCCUAACCUCAGGGGAUCUGCCUGCCUCGACCUCCCAAAGUGCUGGGAUUACAGGCAUGAGCCACCCCGCCUGGCCUAUUCUCUUUAUUACCGAAAUGCUGAGCCGGAAAGUCAACAUAGAAUUUGUUUUUCCCAAGGGCACGCAGAUUGCCCCAACACUUUACUUUUCCUGCUAGAAACUCAACCCAAGAGGUGGGCUUUCUUUUGGUCUCCGACUAUGAAAGCAUGCCACUCUGUCGCUGUCAUCCAUCACGCAGGACUCCUAUGGGUUUGGUUUGGUUCUUUCAUCAUUAUUGUUCGGGAAGUUGUAUUUCCUUUACUGUCCUUAAGUAUGAGGCUCCACCUGUCUCGCCUCCGUAUCCGUGAGUCACUGAGGAGUCCUGUGUCAGUGACAUCUCUCCAUGUGCUUUUCCUAAGAUGCCCCCUCUCUCGGCAAGCUCGAGUCAGGCUUCCCCAUGAAGGCGACCUAAGGGUGUCUAUCAUCCCCCUCCUAAGUGUCCCCAGGGCUUUGGAACAAGGGCCAUGUCCCAUUUAAUGUAACACAAAGAAGACUCAUCAAAGCCCAGGAGCUGGGAGUUCUUUGCUCUUCACUGUUAUGGAAAGCUUGAAACGUCUUAGAUAAAAAUAAUCUGGGCCAUCCUAGGCCCCUGGCUACAGAUGGCCUGCAGUUGGGGCAGGAGCACCUCCAGAGUGUCUCGGCAUUGCUGAGGGUAACCUGAUCGCUGCUCGGAUCCAGCAAGCAGCCUCAGAACCUCCCCGCCGCUGUUGUUUUUAGCACGGGGAUUAUUGGUAGGGGUGUAAAUAGACAGCUGUGCUCUGGGUGGCUCGCUCGCUCCACAUUCCUAGGCACUCUCAUUUUAUUAAAGCUCUCAGCUGUCGGGUGACCCAGGCCUGGAGAAUGAAAGGCCACCCUCACCAACUGGUGGCAGGGCUGCAAAUGGCAACCAAUUUUCCCCCAUAAGGAUAUGUUACUCCUAUUAGAAACCACAUUCCUCACAUGUCCUUAAGAAGGGGGCCAUCUGCCAAUCAUAAAUCAAGAUCUCAUCUGUUCCAAAUAAAGCGUCUACCCUCCUCGCUGGCAGGCCUUUUAUAGUGGACAGACAGAUCUUUUUUUUUCAAAUUUUGUGCAUGGCCAUGUAUUUCUUAUGUAAUUAAAAAAUUAUAAAAGGUAAUAAAAAAUACAAAUCCA
Non-coding RNA from Callithrix jacchus (white-tufted-ear marmoset), 6387 nucleotides. Lineage: Eukaryota; Metazoa; Chordata; Mammalia; Primates; Cebidae. The record is from RefSeq and is a predicted model, not a curated record.